This 253-nucleotide ribosomal RNA is filed under the name uncultured bacterium. Its description in RNAcentral is "partial 16S ribosomal RNA". It matches the Rfam family "Bacterial small subunit ribosomal RNA", at positions 524 to 776 of the family's 1533-position model. The record is from RNAcentral.
UACAGAGGUGGCAAGCGUUGUUCGGAAUUACUGGGCGUAAAGGGCGCGUAGGCGGUGUGUCAAGUCAGGCGUGAAAGCCCCGGGCUCAACCUGGGAACCGCGCUUGAGACUGGCACGCUAGAGUUCGGGAGAGGAUGGUGGAAUUCCCAGUGUAGAGGUGAAAUUCGUAGAUAUUGGGAAGAACACCGAUGGCGAAGGCAGCCAUCUGGACCGACACUGACGCUGAGGCGCGAAAGCGUGGGGAGCAAACAGG